Molecule: long non-coding RNA, 1359 nt
Organism: Lolium perenne
Lineage: Eukaryota; Viridiplantae; Streptophyta; Magnoliopsida; Poales; Poaceae
Source: RefSeq, a predicted model, not a curated record
GUCGAGCAGCCAGAAUCGCCGCCGCCACGACACCACGUCCUGCAUCGCAUGCGACCCCUGCUGCCACCAGAUCGGCCCUGUCUUACAUCGCCGGCGAGCGCCGCGCCACCAGGUAGGUCCCAUCAUGCGUCGAGGGCGAGCACCGCCGCUACCAGGUCGGCCCUGUCGUCGUCGUGGACGAGCGCCGCCACCACCAGGUCGGCCCCGUCGUGCGUCGCCGGCGAGCGACGCGGCCACUAGGUCGACACAACAUUGAGAGACGUCAUCACCAAUCUCGCCGCCAGAUAUGGAUGGUCAAGCGCUGGCGAGGACAUGAUUUCGAAGUACAUUACUAUUAGUAGUAAUGUGCCGUAACAUUCAGUUCAUUCAUUCUUUGCACCAUGCUCUGUCAGGCUCAAAGUGUUGUGCCGUACCAUUUAGUCCAUUUUGUCUUUGUACUAUGCUCCAGACAGUUAACCAGACCUACAAUCUACAAACAAAGCCAUACAAGUUGCAAGUAGAAUCCAUGCUUGUUUGCCCAAAUAGCAGACAAAUAUAUGAUUAGAAUAGAGUGAGGGUUCAUGAAAUCCGUGAGACAUAUAUGCUAUUAAUCAUUUCACCUUCUUUUACAUCAAUCCCAACUUUGAAAGUUGCUUUGAAUUUCUUCGACAUUUUCACUUUAGAAAUCUCAAAACCAGUCUGAAAGCAAAAUGAAGCAACAGAAAGAAGGCUAACCUCAGCUUCUGGUUUCCUUAGACUCAAGCAUUUAAUCGCAGGAACUAGACAGAGUUGAAGUUGCUCCAGUUGUAACAUGCGCAUGUUUAGACUUUACAAAACUGAGUGAACUUGCUGGGCAAGUGUGGUUCUAAUCGAAUAAACAGCAAUAGCAAAAUGGGAAGGCAUGUCAAUGCGCACCAAAUUUCACUUUGCUUCAUAGUUUGUGCUAUUCUAUGCUUUCGACAACAUCUCCAUACUAACAAGGUCAAAUUCUAGGUGUCCUCCAUGACUGUUGACGCACAUUGCUGAUGUUAUCUUCAUUUCCCGGAUAGUAGCAUCAAGCGAGGCACUCUGUUCUUCUGCUUCCUCCAAAGCAAUAGACAUGGAAGUCAAGCUCUUGCAGACAUGGAUUUUCUGCAGAGCGUCAUACAGACAGCUCUUCAUUGAACUUGGCUCGCUUUUGAAAUCCCAAGAUCAGCAACUCUUGAUGGGUUGUAGUUUUGCUAUGUUAUUACAUGAACUAGUUGUUGGUAAAACUGAAUGUAAUUGCAAGAGUGAUUCUACUUAUUUUUCUUAAAGUACUUGGUACUCAUUUGAUGUCAAAUAGUUUGAAAUAUAAUAUUUCAGUCUGUUCAUAAACUGCGUUUGGCCAGUUUUACUCAA